GAGGGUAUAGCUCAGUGGUAGAGAGCAUGCUUAGCAUGCACGAAGUCCUGGGUUUAAUCCCCGGUACCUCCU
RNAcentral lists this transfer RNA (72 nucleotides) under Camelus bactrianus (Bactrian camel). It matches the Rfam family "tRNA". From Rfam's summary of the family: Transfer RNA (tRNA) molecules are approximately 80 nucleotides in length. Their secondary structure includes four short double-helical elements and three loops (D, anti-codon, and T loops). Further hydrogen bonds mediate the characteristic L-shaped molecular structure. tRNAs have two regions of fundamental functional importance: the anti-codon, which is responsible for specific mRNA codon recognition, and the 3' end, to which the tRNAs corresponding amino acid is attached (by aminoacyl-tRNA synthetases). tRNAs cope with the degeneracy of the genetic code in two manners: having more than one tRNA (with a specific anti-codon) for a particular amino acid; and 'wobble' base-pairing, i.e. permitting non-standard base-pairing at the 3rd anti-codon position. The record is from Rfam by way of RNAcentral. RNAcentral also lists the same sequence under 1 other name. Lineage: Eukaryota; Metazoa; Chordata; Mammalia; Artiodactyla; Camelidae.